UGGUAUCUUCAGGGCAGGGUGAGAUUCCCGAUUGGCGGUAUAGUCCGCGAGCGUGAAAACGCAGGACUUGGCAGGCGUCCAAGUCAGGAUUUGGUGAGAUUCCAAAACCAACAGUAUAGUCUGGAUAGAAGAAGAUAAGG
Molecule: non-coding RNA, 140 nt
Filed under: Lachnospiraceae bacterium 10-1
Lineage: Bacteria; Bacillati; Bacillota; Clostridia; Lachnospirales; Lachnospiraceae
Also listed under: 1 other name
Description: FMN riboswitch aptamer (RFN element)
Rfam family: FMN riboswitch aptamer (RFN element)
About the family: The RFN element is a highly conserved domain that is found frequently in the 5'-untranslated regions of prokaryotic mRNAs that encode for flavin mononucleotide (FMN) biosynthesis and transport proteins. This element is a metabolite-dependent riboswitch that directly binds FMN in the absence of proteins. In Bacillus subtilis, the riboswitch most likely controls gene expression by causing premature transcription termination within the 5' untranslated region of the ribDEAHT operon and precluding access to the ribosome-binding site of ypaA mRNA.
Source: Rfam by way of RNAcentral